Molecule: long non-coding RNA, 832 nt
Organism: Alligator mississippiensis (American alligator)
Lineage: Eukaryota; Metazoa; Chordata; Crocodylia; Alligatoridae
Exons: 2
Source: RefSeq, a predicted model, not a curated record
CAGAAAGACGAGUCGGGCCCCUGAAAACAGGCAGCACGCUAUCUAAUGGGCCGCCGCCCUUUGCACUGCCUCUCGGGGGCCGCAGUGCCGUCACCUCGCCUCUCUUCGCCAGGUGUGCGCCGGCUACAACUCACCUGUAACGAGUGGCUGUGCACUUCUGCGGAUCAGGAAGAUAAAGCUCCAAAACUUCUAAAAUGGAGUGGCUUCAGGAUGGACGCAGAGCAGCAUAAAGCAUCAACAUGCAAUUUAAAAUAAAAAAGAAAAACAAAAAACCCCAAGGGCUCAAGUCUACAAAGGCUUCAUGCAGCUGGGCUCUGAGGUCAGUUGCUAAUUAUUCUGUAAACUGAAGCUGCUGCUGAAGCAUCCCAUUAAAUAUCACCAAGGACAUUACAAACUCGGUUGGGCGGGGGGAUGGCUUACAAGCCAGAACAGGGUGUGCCUGCAUCGCAAGGACUCUGCUGGCAGACGCUGCAUCCUCAGAGAAGCCACCAGAGCGGCUGUGCUCGACAGCUCUGCUGCUGCAGCCUCGCCAGUGGGACGCGCGAUGCACCUGGCGGCCGGCGGGCGGGCGGGCAGGUGGGAGCGCUGCCGGCAACUGGAGCAGGCCGAGCCGCCGCCGGCAGAAGGCGCAGGCCUGGCUCCGUGCCCGCCGAGGAAGGGUUUUGCUGCCACAAGGGAACCAAACGUGUGCAUGUACUCGCGAUGUUCAUAGGACCUGAAUCCUGCUCGCUGUUGCCCAAAGUUUGGUUGGUUGGUUUUGUUUUUUUUAAAGGAAGAAGAAAUUUCUUAAAGACUGUACCUUUAUAAAUAAAAAAGGGAAAAAUACUGUUAA